RNAcentral lists this ribosomal RNA (445 nucleotides) under uncultured bacterium. Its description in RNAcentral is "partial 16S ribosomal RNA". It matches the Rfam family "Bacterial small subunit ribosomal RNA", at positions 354 to 796 of the family's 1533-position model. The record is from RNAcentral.
GUAGGGAAUAUUGGGCAAUGGAUGCAAGUCUGACCCAGCCAUCCCGCGUGCCGGAAGAAGGCCCUCAGGGUUGUAAACGACUUUUGACGGUGAAGAAUCGAUAGGAUGCGUCCUGUUGUGACGGUAGCCGUUGAAUAAGCACCGGCUAACUCCGUGCCAGCAGCCGCGGUAAUACGGAGGGUGCGAGCGUUGUCCGGAUUUAUUGGGUUUAAAGGGUGCGUAGGCUGGAAGGUCAGUCAGCGGUGAAAAGCUGUCGCUUAACGAUAGUCUUGCCGCAGAUACUUCCUUUCUUGGAUGAGGAGGAGGCCACUGGAACGGAUGGUGUAGCGGUGAAAUGCAUAGAUAUCAUCCAGAACACCGAUUGCGAAGGCAGGUGGCUGUACCUUAAUCGACGCUGAUGCACGAAAGCAUGGGGAGCAAACAGGAUUAGAUACCCGUGUAGUCC